GGGGCCGACCUGGCUUCGACGUGGGUCGCAAAGCGGUGAAGUGCAUACCGAGGACCAGUCCCCUCGUAAAUCCACUGGAAACUAACAAACGCCAACGACGAGCGUUUCGCUCUGGCCGCUUAAGGCCUAAGCCGCUGCACCGGCAUGUCUCUGGGCCGGACUCGGGGCAACUCGAUUGCAGUGUCAUUCACAGGGAAUCGUGAGGCGUCGGGUUACUUGACGCCAAACUAAAUCCAAGGUGACUCGCUGGCGGUCGGCCUGCCUGGUGGCUAAACCGACGGUUAAAUCCAAAUUGCCAGGCUAAGUAUGUAGAGCUUCCUGUGGAGGGCUUGCGGACGGGGGUUCGAUUCCCCCCGGCUCCACCA
This 365-nucleotide transfer-messenger RNA is filed under the name Rhodocyclaceae. RNAcentral's name for it is "JAEUNX01 sp016791025 Standard tmRNA". It matches the Rfam family "transfer-messenger RNA". From Rfam's summary of the family: Bacterial tmRNA, also known as 10Sa RNA or SsrA, is named for its dual tRNA and mRNA-like properties. The record is from RNAcentral. RNAcentral also lists the same sequence under 1 other name. Lineage: Bacteria; Pseudomonadati; Pseudomonadota; Betaproteobacteria; Rhodocyclales.